RNAcentral lists this ribosomal RNA (755 nucleotides) under uncultured Staphylococcus sp. RNAcentral's name for it is "bacterial SSU rRNA". It matches the Rfam family "Bacterial small subunit ribosomal RNA", at positions 44 to 781 of the family's 1533-position model. The record is from RNAcentral. Lineage: Bacteria; Bacillati; Bacillota; Bacilli; Caryophanales; Staphylococcaceae.
GUGCCUAAUACAUGCAAGUCGAGCGAACGGACGAGAAGCUUGCUUCUCUGAUGUUAGCGGCGGACGGGUGAGUAACACGUGGAUAACCUACCUAUAAGACUGGGAUAACUUCGGGAAACCGGAGCUAAUACCGGAUAAUAUUUUGAACCGCAUGGUUCAAAAGUAAAAGACGGUCUUGCUGUCACUUAUAGAUGGAUCCGCGCUGCAUUAGCUAGUUGGUAAGGUAACGGCUUACCAAGGCAACGAUGCAUAGCCGACCUGAGAGGGUGAUCGGCCACACUGGAACUGAGACACGGUCCAGACUCCUACGGGAGGCAGCAGUAGGGAAUCUUCCGCAAUGGGCGAAAGCCUGACGGAGCAACGCCGCGUGAGUGAUGAAGGUCUUCGGAUCGUAAAACUCUGUUAUUAGGGAAGAACAUAUGUGUAAGUAACUGUGCACAUCUUGACGGUACCUAAUCAGAAAGCCACGGCUAACUACGUGCCAGCAGCCGCGGUAAUACGUAGGUGGCAAGCGUUAUCCGGAAUUAUUGGGCGUAAAGCGCGCGUAGGCGGUUUUUUAAGUCUGAUGUGAAAGCCCACGGCUCAACCGUGGAGGGUCAUUGGAAACUGGAAAACUUGAGUGCAGAAGAGGAAAGUGGAAUUCCAUGUGUAGCGGUGAAAUGCGCAGAGAUAUGGAGGAACACCAGUGGCGAAGGCGACUUUCUGGUCUGUAACUGACGCUGAUGUGCGAAAGCGUGGGGAUCAAACAGGAUUAG